This 76-nucleotide transfer RNA is filed under the name Mogibacterium sp. RNAcentral describes it as "tRNA-Lys". It matches the Rfam family "tRNA". Rfam says of the family: Transfer RNA (tRNA) molecules are approximately 80 nucleotides in length. Their secondary structure includes four short double-helical elements and three loops (D, anti-codon, and T loops). Lineage: Bacteria; Bacillati; Bacillota; Clostridia; Peptostreptococcales; Anaerovoracaceae. The record is from RNAcentral.
GGACGAUUAGCUCAGCCGGCAGAGCACCUGACUCUUAAUCAGGGUGUCCGGGGUUCGAGCCCCCGAUCGUCCACCA